AACGAACGCUGGCGGCAUGCCUAACACAUGCAAGUCGAACGAGACCUUCGGGUCUAGUGGCGCACGGGUGCGUAACGCGUGGGAACCUGCCCUUAGGUUCGGAAUAACUCCCCGAAAGGGGUGCUAAUACCGGAUAAUGUCUUCGGACCAAAGAUUUAUCGCCUUUGGAUGGGCCCGCGUUGGAUUAGCUAGUUGGUAGGGUAAAAGCCUACCAAGGCGACGAUCCAUAGCUGGUCUGAGAGGAUGAUCAGCCACACUGGGACUGAGACACGGCCCAGACUCCUACGGGAAGCAGCAGUGGGGAAUAGUGGACAGUGGGCGAAAGCCUGAUCCAGCAAUGCCGCGUGAGUGAUGAAGGCCUUAGGGUUGUAAAGCUCUUUUACCCGGGAUGAUAAUGACAGUACCGGGAGAAUAAGCUCCGGCUAACUCCGUG
RNAcentral lists this ribosomal RNA (433 nucleotides) under uncultured bacterium. Its description in RNAcentral is "partial 16S ribosomal RNA". It matches the Rfam family "Bacterial small subunit ribosomal RNA", at positions 29 to 507 of the family's 1533-position model. The record is from RNAcentral.